Long non-coding RNA from Perca flavescens (yellow perch), 678 nucleotides. RefSeq lists it as uncharacterized. NCBI's taxonomy places the organism in Eukaryota, Metazoa, Chordata, Actinopteri, Perciformes, Percidae. The record is from RefSeq and is a predicted model, not a curated record. The transcript is spliced from 4 exons.
UGAACCAUCACUUUAAUAUUAAUUUGUAUGAUCUGACCAGCCCGAUCCGAUUAUCACUCUCUCUCUCUCCCCUUUUCUUUAUCGCUCUCUCCCCUUUUCUCUCUCUCUCUCUCUCUCUCUCUCUCUCUCUCUCUCUCUCCCUCUCUCCGCCUCUUGCUCUGGCCUCUUUGUUGACAUGCCACGGGUGAAAAGUCUUCCGCAGAGGAUACACAGUGUAUCCUCGAUUUCAACUCCUCCUCCGGGUGUCCUUGAUGCUCGAUCCUCCGUCAGCGAUGUGCAUUUUAGGUAUUGGGACAUCCUUCAACAUGACGCGCUGAGAACGAUUUCCUGGUCACAAGUGGAUCGAGGAUCGAGGAGUCGAGGAGAUACGACAGAUGGUGGAAAAUUUUCAGAGUGACAGGAUUGAAUGUUCUGACAGAGAGCGGUAAAAGAGAUGACAGAAAACACCAGCCAGCUGGCUGCACGCAGGACUUCAGAUCCGGUCAGGUCGUGGUGCUUUGUUCAGUUUGAUCCUCCUGAGCAGAGUUCAACCUCCCCAUGGCGCAGCUCCAGGUUUACCUGGUUCGAGAGAGAGCGGACAGCUGACCUCACUUUCCAUUCAUGCUGAGCCACUGUGUUUGUGUCCCAUUCUUUCAGCACAAACUUCCCGGCAAGCAAAAACUUCCCGGGAUCCUCGCC